UGGGGUAUGGAAGGAUACUUCUACCUAAGGAGGAACACUAAUUUGCCAUAUGGUGUUUGUGCCGUCAAUGCUAUGGCCUCUUAUCCAACCAAAGAAUCCACUGCUCCAUCUCCACCUAGUCCUCCACUCCUCCGUCCCCACCAUCACCGCCACUAGAGCAAGGGAGAUUGCCUGGGAGUGGUUGCAAAGGAGCGGUAUAUCGCUAAGCACAAGUUCCCCUCUGAAGCAAGCUAGAUGAAAGCAACAAGAGAGAAAAAACCAACCUCUCCAGUGGAAGAGGAAC
Molecule: unclassified non-coding RNA, 283 nt
Filed under: Hevea brasiliensis (rubber tree)
Lineage: Eukaryota; Viridiplantae; Streptophyta; Magnoliopsida; Malpighiales; Euphorbiaceae
Source: RNAcentral